Molecule: ribosomal RNA, 271 nt
Filed under: uncultured archaeon
Lineage: Archaea
Description: partial 16S ribosomal RNA
Rfam family: Archaeal small subunit ribosomal RNA
Source: RNAcentral
CAGCGCCACGAGUGGUGAUCACUAUUAUUGGGCCUAAAGCGUCCGUAGCCGGUCUAGUAAAUCUCUUGUGAAAUCGUUCGGCUCAACCGAGCGGCGUGCAGGAGACACUGCCAGACUAGGGACCGGGAGGGGUCAGAUGUAUUCUGGGGGGAGCGGUAAAAUGCUAUAAUCCUCAGAGGACAACCGGUGGCGAAGGCGUCUGACCAGAACGGAUCCGACGGUGAGGGACGAAAGCCAGGGGAGCAAUCCGGAUUAGAUACCCGAGUAGUCC